Passer domesticus (house sparrow) is the source of this 1537-nucleotide long non-coding RNA. RefSeq lists it as uncharacterized. The record is from RefSeq and is a predicted model, not a curated record. NCBI's taxonomy places the organism in Eukaryota, Metazoa, Chordata, Aves, Passeriformes, Passeridae. The transcript is spliced from 2 exons.
GGGCCACGCACCAUCGGCUCCCCUUCAUCCUCCCGCAGCCUCCCCGCCCUCCUUCCUCCCUCCCACUGUUUCCAUGGAUUUAUGGCCUUAAUGAGAGCAAUAUUCUGGCAUCUCCAACCUUGGUGUGACAACUGUGGGACAACCACGAUGCCAGCAGCCUUUCCACCCUCCUCUUGUCACAGCAGCCGAGUGGGGGCCCAGAGGGUGCCCUGGCCACACCAGGAGGGCUCAGCCCUGUCGCUGGUCCAUCACCCUGCAUGUGGCAGGGUGGAAAAGGGGCUCUUGUGCUCCUGGAUGCAGCCUUGGCUCUUCCUGCUGCCCUUAGUCUGUCACUAAAGGGGGUGGUGUCAGCACUGGGGCCCCAAGCAAGGGGUGACCACCCUGGCCAUGCCUGGGACUCACCAUCCCUGCUGGGGGUGCUCGGGGUUCAGAGCUUGUCCCUACAGGAUUUCUGGACAUCACCUUGCAGUGAGCUGGCAGCUCUUGCCUCAUCCCUGGCAGCUGCCCCAUCCUGCCUGACCACACCAGGGUAACCUCCACGACCCCCCGAGAUCAGGAAAAGCCAGAACACCUCAGUUUUCAUCAUUAUCAUCAUCAUUGCAAGAGAAGGGGUGAAGACAGUCACAGGAUGUGCUGUGGAACUGGUGGCGUGGGAGUGAUGAGCUGUCCCACCCUUUCUCUACAGGGCACCUCUCCCAGUUCCAGGUUUCUCCCUCUUUUUGGGAUGGGUCAUAAAAGGAUACCAGAUUUCCCCCUUUUUGUGGGCGGGUUAUGAGGAGAUUCCAGGUUUCCCCUAUGUUUUUUUUUGAGGGGAUGGAUUGCGAAGAUUUUCCAGGUUUCCCCCCCCCUCUUUUUUUUUUUUUUUUUUUGAAUGGGUCACAAAGUAUUUCCAGGUGUCCCAUUUUCUGGGGAAUGGGCUGUAAAGGGUUUCCAGCCAGAAGAGAGCUGCAGUGGCCGGUAUGUGGCAGCUCAGCCAUGGAAUGCUGACAGCCUGGGGACAAAUGUGACCGAGCUGGGAAGCUGCAACCCCCCAUUCCCCACAUCCACCACGUCCCCGGGAGGGCUCCACCACCUCAUCCCCACCCCUGUCCCCCCUGGAUUUGGGGGUGCAAAGCAGCACUCACUGAAAGCUGUGAUGGCCGGAGCCGUGGAUCCUGAGGGAGCCGUGGAUUCCGAUGGAGCAGUGGAUCCCGAGGGAUUGGCAGUGCCAGUGGUGUCCUCCAAAAAUUCCUCCGUGAGACAGUCUUCACCACAUUUGGGAACAAAGGUGUACCCACAAACCCCACGAGACACCUUGUCCCCAGCUGUGAUGUCUCCAAGGUGCUUUUGGUGGAAACCCCAGGACUGACAGACAACUGCUGAUGCAAGAACACAUCCAGCAGGAUCAGCAACCCUGGCAGCAGCCAUGGAUCUCCACAUCCAUCCACAUCACCCCCUGAGGGGCCUCCCCCAUGCUCAGGCAGAAAGAGCAGACAACAAACACCACCAGGAAAUGUGUCACCUUCUUUAAUUAAAAAUAAAAAUACAGGGGAAUAUG